Small nucleolar RNA from Nycticebus coucang (slow loris), 100 nucleotides. RefSeq annotates it as small nucleolar RNA U13. Lineage: Eukaryota; Metazoa; Chordata; Mammalia; Primates; Lorisidae. The record is from RefSeq and is a predicted model, not a curated record. The transcript has a single exon.
AUCCUUUUUUAGUUCAUAAGCGAGAUGAUUGGGUUUUCAUGCUCAUGCGUGAGAUGUGCCUCCCACAAUGUUACGAUGUCCGCACAUUACCCGACUGACA